GAUGAAGAACGUAGCGAAAUGCGAUAAGUAAUGCGAAUUGCAGAAUUUCAGUGAAUCAUCGAAUCUUUGAACGCACAUUGCGCCCGCCAGUAUUCUGGCGGGCAUGCCUGUUCGAGCGUCAUUUCAACCCUCAAGCACAGCUUGGUGUUGGGACUCGCGUUAAUUCGCGUUCCUCAAAUUGAUUGGCGGUCACGUCGAGCUUCCAUAGCGUAGUAGUAAAACCCUCGUUACUGGUAAUCGUCGCGGCCACGCCGUUAAACCCCAACUUCUGAAUGUUGACCUCGGAUCAGGUAGGAAUACCCGCUGAACUUAAGCAUAUCAAUAAGCGGAGGA
This 333-nucleotide unclassified non-coding RNA is filed under the name soil metagenome. RNAcentral describes it as "partial contains 5.8S ribosomal RNA, internal transcribed spacer 2, and large subunit ribosomal RNA". The stretch from base 1 to 121 matches the Rfam family "5.8S ribosomal RNA", at positions 35 to 154 of the family's 154-position model. The record is from RNAcentral.